UUCAAUCGUAAUAUCAACAACAAUUUAUCGUUAUUCGUAUUGCUGUUUUGUUUCGGUGAUGGCUAAGAUUUCUUUCACUCUGGUUUUCACUCUUAUCCUAGCCAUUACAGGUAUUUCAAGAACAAGUGGAGCAAUGCCAAAAAAACACUGUCAGCAAGUAUUGGGUCCAAAUGACUGCACAUUCAGUAAUUGUAAUGCGAAUUGUGUGAAACAAUAUCUCGGAAUUGGAUAUUGCGUUGGCCCAUAUCCUCAUAAAUGUGUUUGUGUAUACAAUUGUCCUCAUUAGAAGGACCUGUCCUAAUGUUCCAUCUGACGCAAGAAUAACAAAAUAAAAUGAUUUCUUCUGUUACUCUA
Long non-coding RNA from Vigna unguiculata (cowpea), 354 nucleotides. RefSeq lists it as uncharacterized. The record is from RefSeq and is a predicted model, not a curated record. NCBI's taxonomy places the organism in Eukaryota, Viridiplantae, Streptophyta, Magnoliopsida, Fabales, Fabaceae.